CCAUUAUUCUUCAGGUGAAGCGAGAUUUUUCUAAAUGGUAAAAAACCCAGAUAUAUCCUGUAAAACUACAGAUUACCCUUUCAUCCUAUUAUUUCCUUCACUUUAUCUUGUUUCUGAGAAAACAAAAAGUUUUCUUCAAAUGAUAUUUAUUUCUCAAUUGCUACAAUUUAUAAACUGCAUGUCAGCUCAUGUUUUAGUGAAGUAUUUGUGGAAUAGCAGUAGGUGCUGGCUGUGA
This 235-nucleotide long non-coding RNA is filed under the name Cyanistes caeruleus (blue tit). RNAcentral describes it as "lncRNA (ENSCCEG00000014467.1)". The record is from RNAcentral. Lineage: Eukaryota; Metazoa; Chordata; Aves; Passeriformes; Paridae.